RNAcentral lists this ribosomal RNA (561 nucleotides) under bacterium. Its description in RNAcentral is "bacterial SSU rRNA". It matches the Rfam family "Bacterial small subunit ribosomal RNA", at positions 56 to 608 of the family's 1533-position model. The record is from RNAcentral.
UGCCAGUCGAGCGGUAGCACAGAGAGCUUGCUCUCGGGUGACGAGCGGCGGACGGGUGAGUAAUGUCUGGGAAACUGCCUGAUGGAGGGGGAUAACUACUGGAAACGGUAGCUAAUACCGCAUAACGUCGCAAGACCAAAGUGGGGGACCUUCGGGCCUCAUGCCAUCAGAUGUGCCCAGAUGGGAUUAGCUAGUAGGUGGGGUAAUGGCUCACCUAGGCGACGAUCCCUAGCUGGUCUGAGAGGAUGACCAGCCACACUGGAACUGAGACACGGUCCAGACUCCUACGGGAGGCAGCAGUGGGGAAUAUUGCACAAUGGGCGCAAGCCUGAUGCAGCCAUGCCGCGUGUAUGAAGAAGGCCUUCGGGUUGUAAAGUACUUUCAGCGAGGAGGAAGGCGUUAAGGUUAAUAACCUUGGCGAUUGACGUUACUCGCAGAAGAAGCACCGGCUAACUCCGUGCCAGCAGCCGCGGUAAUACGGAGGGUGCAAGCGUUAAUCGGAAUUACUGGGCGUAAAGCGCACGCAGGCGGUCUGUCAAGUCGGAUGUGAAAUCCCCGGGC